ACUCCUACGGGAGGCAGCAGUGGGGAAUUUUGGACAAUGGGCGAAAGCCUGAUCCAGCAAUGCCGCGUGAGUGAAGAAGGCCUUCGGGUUGUAAAGCUCUUUUGUCAGGGAAGAAACGGUGAGAGCUAAUAUCUCUUGCUAAUGACGGUACCUGAAGAAUAAGCACCGGCUAACUACGUGCCAGCAGCCGCGGUAAUACGUAGGGUGCAAGCGUUAAUCGGAAUUACUGGGCGUAAAGCGUGCGCAGGCGGUUUUGUAAGUCUGAUGUGAAAUCCCCGGGCUCAACCUGGGAAUUGCAUUGGAGACUGCAAGGCUAGAAUCUGGCAGAGGGGGGUAGAAUUCCACGUGUAGCAGUGAAAUGCGUAGAUAUGUGGAGGAACACCGAUGGCGAAGGCAGCCCCCUGGGUCAAGAUUGACGCUCAUGCACGAAAGCGUGGGGAGCAAACAGGAUUAGAAACCCGAGAGUCCCAUG
Molecule: ribosomal RNA, 472 nt
Filed under: uncultured organism
Description: partial 16S ribosomal RNA
Rfam family: Bacterial small subunit ribosomal RNA
Source: RNAcentral